Molecule: small RNA, 90 nt
Filed under: Arabidopsis thaliana (thale cress)
Lineage: Eukaryota; Viridiplantae; Streptophyta; Magnoliopsida; Brassicales; Brassicaceae
Description: ATSL005650
Source: RNAcentral
CACUCAGGUCGUGGAACCACACUGAGGAGAAUAAGAGGCGGACGUUGCAGAAGAACGAUAUUGCUGCUGCUGUGACUAGAACCGAUAUUU